Long non-coding RNA from Gopherus evgoodei (Goodes thornscrub tortoise), 1042 nucleotides. RefSeq lists it as uncharacterized. NCBI's taxonomy places the organism in Eukaryota, Metazoa, Chordata, Testudines, Testudinidae. The transcript has 3 exons. The record is from RefSeq and is a predicted model, not a curated record.
CUUCCUUGCAGCAGAUGAUCGGAAUGCUUUGGGCGGCGGGGGAGCCAGAGGAAGGGGAGCUACCGUGGCCUUGGCUUUGCUCAGGUGCUGUAAUGCAGGAACACACAGCAACUACACAGCGAACAAUGAAACCGAAGUAUGGGACACAAGGACAACACUGUCUAGCUAAUGAACGAUCCCCACUCCCUCACAAGGGAAGCCAAACAGCUGCAGCAAGAGGAGUCCAUGCCUGAACACAAGGAGUGCUCCCUUAGGCCAUGCUGCUUAUGCACAUGUAUGCCUCUACACUUCUGGUUGCAAGGGCCUUCACCACACCAGCCUGGGAUAUUUUACAUGGCAAAAAAACAGUGUUCAAGGCAAAGGUAAAAACACAUGCAGGUAGUAAGUUCAUGGGAUAGAAGUGGCAGUUUUAAAGUAGACCCUGGCUCAGCCUCACAACUCCUAAGGAGAGUAGGUAUCAUUGCCCUGUUUUACAGAUGGGGAAACUGAGGCAGAAAAUUGCACAGGGUUUUAUAGAGUUGAUGACAGAGCUGAAAUUAGAACUUAGGUCGUUCUGACUAAUGCUGGUCAUAGUCCUCCUAUACUGCCCAUCAAUGGUAGUUUCAAGCCAGGCAGUAUUUGUCCCAUAACUGCUUGGUUGAAAUCACCAUUAGCCAGUUAGCAUGCAGUCUCAGUCUGCCCACUUUAUAAGAAGGGACAAUCUGAUACUUGGAUUCAGUAGAGAAAUGCGCAGAAUUCUGAACUUCGAGAGACAGUUAUUCAACUGUGCCUCAAACUAAAUGGUUAGACUAAAUACUGUACACAUUCCACUCAUCUGCAUGGAAACUCUACAGGAACUGCAGCAGCAUGUAUGGCAGAGCCUGAGAUAUACUUGCUUCCAGCGCGGAGCACUAUCCAGGGAGCUACUUGACUCAACUCCAGCAAAGUCAGACACCAAGGAUUUCUCUGGUGGCACAACACAAGGCUCCUCUCACUGCCCUGGCUCACCAUGGCGGGGUGGAUAAAAACAAUGAUUUAAAAAAAAAUGGGAUUUUUUUGAUAA